UACGGAGGAUCCGAGCGUUAUCCGGAUUUAUUGGGUUUAAAGGGAGCGUAGGUGGACAUGUAAGUCAGUUGUGAAAGUUUGCGGCUCAACCGUAAAAUUGCAGUUGAUACUGUGUGUCUUGAGUACAGUAGAGGUGGGCGGAAUUCGUGGUGUAGCGGUGAAAUGCUUAGAUAUCACGAAGAACUCCGAUUGCGAAGGCAGCUCACUGGACUGGUAACUGACACUGAGGCUCGAAAGUGUGGGUAUCAAACAGG
RNAcentral lists this ribosomal RNA (254 nucleotides) under Bacteroides nordii WAL 11050 = JCM 12987. Its description in RNAcentral is "partial 16S ribosomal RNA". It matches the Rfam family "Bacterial small subunit ribosomal RNA", at positions 524 to 776 of the family's 1533-position model. Lineage: Bacteria; Pseudomonadati; Bacteroidota; Bacteroidia; Bacteroidales; Bacteroidaceae. The record is from RNAcentral.